RNAcentral lists this non-coding RNA (72 nucleotides) under bovine gut metagenome. Its description in RNAcentral is "Glycine riboswitch". It matches the Rfam family "Glycine riboswitch aptamer", at positions 8 to 87 of the family's 94-position model. From Rfam's summary of the family: This family represents the bacterial glycine riboswitch. Glycine riboswitches usually consist of two metabolite-binding aptamers domains with similar structures in tandem. The record is from RNAcentral. RNAcentral also lists the same sequence under 1 other name.
CGCCCGGGAGAGGCCGCAGAAUCUGCGGCGCCGAAGGGGAACAGCAGAAACUCUCAGGCAAAAGGAUCGGGC